CAGCAGCCGCGGUAAUACGUAGGUGGCAAGCGUUGUCCGGAAUUAUUGGGCGUAAAGGGCUCGCAGGCGGUUUCUUAAGUCUGAUGUGAAAGCCCCCGGCUCAACCGGGGGGGGUCAUUGGAAACUGGGAAACUUGAGUGCAGAAGAGGAGAGUGGAAUUCCACGUGUGGCGGUGAAAUGCGUAGAGGUGUGGAGGAACACCAGUGGCGAAGGCGACUCUCUGGUCUGUAACUGACGCUGAGGAGCGAAAGUGUGGGGAGCGAACAGGGUUAGAUACCCCGGUAGUCCCUGUCCCUUAUAC
RNAcentral lists this ribosomal RNA (301 nucleotides) under uncultured bacterium. RNAcentral describes it as "partial 16S ribosomal RNA". It matches the Rfam family "Bacterial small subunit ribosomal RNA", at positions 509 to 807 of the family's 1533-position model. The record is from RNAcentral.